GUGGGGUGGGGGGGGGAGAGAAUGUGCAUUCUUUAAUCUUAUACCUAGAUAUUUGCAGUAAGCCAAAAACCAAAAUAUUUUCUUUUUUCAACACAACACAAAAGAAAUAGCUCCUGUGUUUUUGUUUCCAGCUGCCUCCCCACUUGACAGAGAAACUGGGCUAUAGUUAGGAAGCAUUGGUUCUAACCUCAAAAGCAAGGACCCACUUAUCCCAGCCGGUCCCAAUGGGUCUGGUUUUAGGGGAAUAAGGAAAGCUCGAGUAGCUGGGAAGCAGGUGGCUGUCUUUCUGUGUCCUACCAGGCUGACCAAAGUGCCAUUCUCUUCAUUUUCAGUGUUUUCCAGUGGUCUCACAGAUUCACUAUUGCAGUGUUCUUCCCAGGAAAGAAAACUCCACUAGAUAUCCGAGAGAACAGAAGGGGUCCUAAUGUUUCCUCAGAUAUCAGUGUUUGCCAGCAGUCAGUGUGUGUGUGUGUGUGUGUGUGUGUGUGUGUGUGUGUGUGUGUGUGUGUGUGUUUGAAAUUGACCAAAACUUGUAGUAUAACUGAGUAAAGAUUUCAAGCAAUUUUUAAAAAUUAAAGAUGGAGCACUGCUGAGAACACUAUACUAAAAUAUUACUAAUUGAGCUUAUCUAACUGCUGCAUGUUUCUGCAAGUUCAGUGGGUUCUUUGGACUUAACACAAGGCAAAGAACUCUUUGACACUUCACAUUUGUAAUAAUGAAAUGAUUGUAUAGUUUCCUUCCUCUGUCACAGUGGUUCUCAACCUGUGGGUUGUGACCCCUUGGGAAGCAAAUAGCCCUGUCACAAGGGAAAUCUUAAGACCAUUUGAAAACACAGAUAUUUACAUUACAGUUCAUAACAGUAACAAAAUUACAGUCUUGAAGUAGCAACAAAAUCAUUUUAUGGCUGGGGAUUACCACAGCAUGAGGAGCUGUAUUAAAGGGUUGCAGCACUAGGAAGUUUGACAACCACUGCAGUAUGGGCUUCACUUCACAUCUGUUAUUCAAACAGCUGGGACAUGCUUCCCAGCAGCCUUUUGUAGUUAAAGAAGUUGUGACUUUUAGCCCAGAACUAAGAAGUACUCUUGAACUGAACACUAUUAAUUUGCCUUGAGAAAUGUGAAAUGACAGUUUCUCUAAGAUAAUUUACCAAACUCUUACCAAAACUCUUUCUACCAUGUUUUCUCCAAAAACAAAGUCAGAACUGCAGCUUUUAAAAGAACAGUUAUCUUCCUUUGGUUGGCAUCUGUGAAACAGAAAUAAGUAUUCGGUAUUUUAAAUUUGUGAAUUAAGCCACUUUAAGCCUUAGCAGGCAAAAUAAACCAGUAGUUCAAGAAUAAUCAGACCUCUUUGUUCAUAAGAAAUGAAUGAGAAGUGAAGGAAAAACAUGAGCCAAAGACUUCCAGGGGUAAUAUUAUGACAUUGGAGUUGACCUGUAUAGAUGACUUCAUUCCAUUCGCUAUGUGGGCUGCAUGACCAGCUGGAGAGCUGCCCAGCGCUUAUCUUACUACAUCCCAGCAAUCCCUAACCAUUAUUCUUUGUCGUAAGUGGCCAAUGAUGCUUUUAGCCAUCCAAGAUCUUCAGGGUGUCUUAUCAAUUAUACUUGAAUGUGCUUUAUUUUAAUUCUUCUACUCCAAGAAAAUUGAUUUUUAUAUUAAAAUUGUUUCACAGGAUGAGAAAAUCAAACAUGCAGCCAUUUGUAGGCAGAUGUUCUAACGGUUCUCCACACAUCCCAUGACCUCACCUGGAUGGUGCCUACUCAUGGUUGACCAUCCUGUAAAGUCUCACCAACAUGGCUGCCUAAACAUGAGCUGAACAAAGACCACAGUAGACACACUAAAGUGGACUAGGGCAGGGACAGUAGGGGGGAGGAGCCCAUGAGGCCUCAAUCCUAUACAAAGAACAACAGGCAACUAAGGAAUGCUGAGAACUGAAGAAAUAGUCUUCCUCGGGAAAGAGCAGACCAACUGGUUAUCUAAUGCCAAAAGGAAACCUUUUAAAGACUGUAAGAAACAGUGUUACCAAAGUUUAUAUUUUCAUUAAACUUGUAUAUUAAAAUGGUA
Molecule: non-coding RNA, 2060 nt
Organism: Cricetulus griseus (Chinese hamster)
Lineage: Eukaryota; Metazoa; Chordata; Mammalia; Rodentia; Cricetidae
Source: RefSeq, a predicted model, not a curated record